AGUGAACGCUGGCGGUAGGCCUAACACAUGCAAGUCGAACGGCAGCACAGUAAGAGCUUGCUCUUACGGGUGGCGAGUGGCGGACGGGUGAGGAAUACAUCGGAAUCUACUUUUUCGUGGGGGAUAACGUAGGGAAACUUACGCUAAUACCGCAUACGACCUACGGGUGAAAGCAGGGGAUCUUCGGACCUUGCGCGAUUGAAUGAGCCGAUGUCGGAUUAGCUAGUUGGCGGGGUAAAGGCCCACCAAGGCGACGAUCCGUAGCUGGUCUGAGAGGAUGAUCAGCCACACUGGAACUGAGACACGGUCCAGACUCCUACGGGAGGCAGCAGUGGGGAAUAUUGGACAAUGGGAGCAAGCCUGAUCCAGCCAUACCGCGUGGGUGAAGAAGGCCUGCGGGUUGUAAAGCCCUUUUGUUGGGAAAGAAAAGCAGCAGGUUAAUACCCCGCUGUUCUGACGGUACCCAAAGAAUAAGCACCGGCUAACUUCGU
This 491-nucleotide ribosomal RNA is filed under the name uncultured bacterium. Its description in RNAcentral is "partial 16S ribosomal RNA". It matches the Rfam family "Bacterial small subunit ribosomal RNA", at positions 29 to 506 of the family's 1533-position model. The record is from RNAcentral.